AAAGGAAUUGACGGGGGCCCGCACAAGCGGAGGAACAUGUGGUUUAAUUCGAUGAUACGCGAGGAACCUUACCCGGGCUUGAAUUGUGAGAGAAGGAUCCAGAGAUGGUGACGCCCUUCGGGGCUCUCAUGAAGGUGCUGCAUGGUUGUCGUCAGCUCGUGCCGUGAGGUGUCGGCUUAAGUGCCAUAACGAGCGCAACCCCUCUCUUCAGUUGCCAUCAGGUUAAGCUGGGCACUCUGGAGACACUGCCACCGUAAGGUGUGAGGAAGGUGGGGAUGACGUCAAAUCAGCACGGCCCUUACGUCCGGGGCUACACACGUGUUACAAUGGGUGGUACAGAGAGUUGGGUGCCCGCAAGGUCACUCUAAUCAAUAAAUCCAUCCUCAGUUCGGACUGGGGUCUGCAACCCGACCCCACGAAGCUGGAUUCGCUAGUAAUCGCGCAUCAGCCAUGGCGCGGUGAAUACGUUCCCGGGCCUUGUACACACCGCCCGU
This 494-nucleotide ribosomal RNA is filed under the name uncultured bacterium. RNAcentral's name for it is "bacterial SSU rRNA". It matches the Rfam family "Bacterial small subunit ribosomal RNA", at positions 903 to 1397 of the family's 1533-position model. The record is from RNAcentral.